Molecule: ribosomal RNA, 449 nt
Filed under: uncultured bacterium
Lineage: Bacteria
Description: partial 16S ribosomal RNA
Rfam family: Bacterial small subunit ribosomal RNA
Source: RNAcentral
AACGAACGCUGGCGGCAUGCCUAACACAUGCAAGUCGAACGAGAUCUUCGGGUCUAGUGGCGCACGGGUGCGUAACGCGUGGGAAUCUGCCCUUUGGUUCGGAAUAACAGUUGGAAACGACUGCUAAUACCGGAUGAUGACGAAAGUCCAAAGAUUUAUCGCCAGAGGAUGAGCCCGCGUAGGGUUAGCUAGUUGGUGUGGUAAAGGCGCACCAAGGCGACGAUCCUUAGCUGGUCUGAGAGGAUGAUCAGCCUCACUGGGACUGAGACACGGCCCAGACUCCUACGGGAGGCAGCAGUGGGGAAUAUUGGACAAUGGGCGAAAGCCUGAUCCAGCAAUGCCGCGUGAGUGAUGAAGGCCUUAGGGUUGUAAAGCUCUUUUACCCGGGGUGAUAAUGACAGUACCGGGAGAAUAAGCUCCGGCUAACUCCGUGCCAGCCGCCGCAGUAA